RNAcentral lists this ribosomal RNA (253 nucleotides) under uncultured bacterium. RNAcentral's name for it is "partial 16S ribosomal RNA". It matches the Rfam family "Bacterial small subunit ribosomal RNA", at positions 524 to 776 of the family's 1533-position model. The record is from RNAcentral.
UACAGAGGUCCCGAGCGUUGUUCGGAUUCACUGGGCGUAAAGGGUGCGUAGGUGGUCGGGUAAGUCUGAUGUGAAAUCUCUGGGCUCAACCCAGAAACUGCAUUGGAUACUAUUCGGCUAGAGGAGUGGAGGGGGGACUGGAAUACUUGGUGUAGCAGUGAAAUGCGUAGAUAUCAAGUGGAACACCAGUGGCGAAGGCGAGUCCCUGGACACUUCCUGACACUGAGGCACGAAAGCUAGGGGAGCAAACAGG